UUGCACGCUGGCGGCAUGCUUUACACAUGCAAGUCGAACGGCAGCGCGGGCUUCGGCCUGGCGGCGAGUGGCGAACGGGUGAGUAAUACAUCGGAACGUGCCCAGUAGUGGGGGAUAGCUCGGCGAAAGCCGGAUUAAUACCGCAUACGACCUGAGGGUGAAAGCGGGGGACCUUCGGACCUCGCGCUAUUGGAGCGGCCGAUGGCAGAUUAGCUAGUUGGUGGGGUAAAGGCCUACCAAGGCGACGAUCUGUAGCUGGUCUGAGAGGACGACCAGCCACACUGGGACUGAGACACGGCCCAGACUCCUACGGGAGGCAGCAGUGGGGAAUUUUGGACAAUGGGCGAAAGCCUGAUCCAGCAAUGCCGCGUGUGUGAUGAAGGCCUUCGGGUUGUAAAGCACUUUUGGCGGGAACGAAAAGGACUGUGCCAAUACCACGGUUCGAUGACGGUACCCGCAGAAUAAGCACCGGCUAACUACGUG
Molecule: ribosomal RNA, 483 nt
Filed under: uncultured bacterium
Lineage: Bacteria
Description: partial 16S ribosomal RNA
Rfam family: Bacterial small subunit ribosomal RNA
Source: RNAcentral